GACGAACGCUGGCGGCGUGCUUAACACAUGCAAGUCGAACGGAAAGGCCCUGCUUGCAGGGUGCUCGAGUGGCGAACGGGUGAGUAACACGUGGGUGAUCUGCCCCUUACUUUGGGAUAAGCCUGGGAAACUGGGUCUAAUACUGGAUAGGACCAUGCUGUAGGUGGUGUGGUGGAAAGAUUAGUUUCGGUAAGGGAUGAGCUCGCGGCCUAUCAGCUUGUUGGUGGGGUAAUGGCCUACCAAGGCGUCGACGGGUAGCCGGCCUGAGUGGGUGGGCGGCCAGAUUGAGACUGCGACAGGGCCCAGACGUCUGCGGGAGUCAGCAGUGGGGGAAAGUGUGACAGGGGAGCAAGGCUGAUGCAGCGACGGCGCGUGGAGGAUGACGGCCUUCGGGUUGUAAACUACUUUCGGCCAUGACGAAGCGCUUGUGGUGACGGUAGUUGUAGAAGAAGCACCGGCUAACUACGUG
Molecule: ribosomal RNA, 469 nt
Filed under: uncultured bacterium
Lineage: Bacteria
Description: partial 16S ribosomal RNA
Rfam family: Bacterial small subunit ribosomal RNA
Source: RNAcentral